RNAcentral lists this ribosomal RNA (441 nucleotides) under uncultured bacterium. RNAcentral describes it as "partial 16S ribosomal RNA". It matches the Rfam family "Bacterial small subunit ribosomal RNA", at positions 338 to 795 of the family's 1533-position model. The record is from RNAcentral.
CCUACGGGAGGCAGCAGUGGGGAAUAUUGCACAAUGGGGGAAACCCUGAUGCAGCAACGCCGCGUGAAGGAAGACGGUUUUCGGAUUGUAAACUUCUGUUCUUAGUGAAGAAUAAUGACGGUAGCUAAGGAGCAAGCCACGGCUAACUACGUGCCAGCAGCCGCGGUAAUACGUAGGUGGCAAGCGUUGUCCGGAAUUACUGGGUGUAAAGGGAGCGCAGGCGGGAAGCCAAGUCAGCUGUGAAAACUACGGGCUUAACUUGUAGACUGCAGUUGAAACUGGUUUUCUUGAGUGAAGUAGAGGUUGGCGGAAUUCCGAGUGUAGCGGUGAAAUGCGUAGAUAUUCGGAGGAACACCGAUUGCGAAGGCAGCUUACCAAGCUACUUCUGACGUUGAGGCACGAAAGCGUGGGGAGCAAACAGGAUUAGAUACCCCAGUAGUC